GACGAACGCUGGCGGCGUGCUUAACACAUGCAAGUCGAACGAAGAGCGAUGGAAGCUUGCUUCUAUCAAUCUUAGUGGCGAACGGGUGAGUAACGCGUAAUCAACCUGCCCUUCAGAGGGGGACAACAGUUGGAAACGACUGCUAAUACCGCAUACGAUCUAAUCUCGGCAUCGAGGAUAGAUGAAAGGUGGCCUCUACAUGUAAGCUAUCACUGAAGGAGGGGAUUGCGUCUGAUUAGCUGGUUGGAGGGGGAACGGCCCACCGAGGCGAUGAUCAGUAGCCGGUCUGAGAGGAUGAACGGCCACAUUGGGACUGAGACACGGCCCAGACUCCUACGGGAGGCAGCAGUGGGGAAUCUUCCGCAAUGGACGAAAGUCUGACGGGGCAACGCCGCGUGAGUGAUGACGGCCUUCGGGUUGUAAAGCUCUGUUAAUCGGGACGAAAGGCCUUCUUGCGAAUAGUGAGAAGGAUUGACGGUACCGGAAUAGAAAGCCACGGCUAACUACGUG
RNAcentral lists this ribosomal RNA (510 nucleotides) under uncultured bacterium. Its description in RNAcentral is "partial 16S ribosomal RNA". It matches the Rfam family "Bacterial small subunit ribosomal RNA", at positions 28 to 507 of the family's 1533-position model. The record is from RNAcentral.